GGUAAUAGUUAAAUAUAACAUUUGAUUUGCAUUCAAAAGGUGUUGAUUAGUCAACUUACCUU
RNAcentral lists this transfer RNA (62 nucleotides) under Cordulia aenea (downy emerald). RNAcentral's name for it is "tRNA-Ala". It matches the Rfam family "tRNA". From Rfam's summary of the family: Transfer RNA (tRNA) molecules are approximately 80 nucleotides in length. Their secondary structure includes four short double-helical elements and three loops (D, anti-codon, and T loops). The record is from RNAcentral. Lineage: Eukaryota; Metazoa; Arthropoda; Insecta; Odonata; Corduliidae.